Molecule: ribosomal RNA, 460 nt
Filed under: uncultured bacterium
Lineage: Bacteria
Description: partial 16S ribosomal RNA
Rfam family: Bacterial small subunit ribosomal RNA
Source: RNAcentral
CCUACGGGUGGCAGCAGUGAGGAAUAUUGGUCAAUGGGCGGGAGCCUGAACCAGCCAAGCCGCGUGAGGGAAGAAGGUACAGCGUAUCGUAAACCUCUUUUGUCAGGGAACAAAGGCGGGGACUAGUCCCCGGAUGAGGGUACCUGAAGAAAAAGCAUCGGCUAACUCCGUGCCAGCAGCCGCGGUAAUACGGAGGAUGCGAGCGUUAUCCGGAUUUAUUGGGUGUAAAGGGAGCGUAGACGGUGCAGCAAGUCUGAUGUGAAAGGUCGGGGCCCAACCCCGGGACUGCAUUGGAAACGGGUGAACGGGAGUACAGGAGAGGUAAGCGGAAUUCCUAGUGUAGCGGUGAAAUGCGUAGAUAUUAGGAGGAACACCAGUGGCGAAGGCGGCUUACUGGACUGUAACUGACGUUGAGGCUCGAAAGCGUGGGGAGCAAACAGGAUUAGAUACCCUGGUAGUC